Molecule: ribosomal RNA, 253 nt
Filed under: uncultured bacterium
Lineage: Bacteria
Description: partial 16S ribosomal RNA
Rfam family: Bacterial small subunit ribosomal RNA
Source: RNAcentral
UACGUAGGCAGCAAGCGUUGUUCGGAGUUACUGGGCGUAAAGGGUGCGUAGGCGGUCCUAUAAGUAUGGUGUGAAAUCUCCCGGCUUAACUGGGAGGGUGCGCUAUAGACUGUGGGACUAGAGUGUGGGAGAGGAAAGUGGAAUUCCUGGUGUAGCGGUGAAAUGCGUAGAUAUCAGGAGGAACACCGGUGGUGUAAACGGCUUUCUGGACCAUUACUGACGCUGAGACACGAAAGCGUGGGUAGCAAACAGG